GAUGAACGCUAGCGGCAGGCUUAACACAUGCAAGUCGAGGGGCAGCAUAAUGGAUAGCAAUAUCUAUGGUGGCGACCGGCGCACGGGUGCGUAACGCGUAUGCAACCUACCUUUAACAGGGGGAUAACACUGAGAAAUUGGUACUAAUACCCCAUAAUAUCAUAGAAGGCAUCUUUUAUGGUUGAAAAUUCCGAUGGUUAGAGAUGGGCAUGCGUUGGAUUAGCUAGUUGGUGGGGUAACGGCUCACCAAGGCGACGAUCAGUAGCCGACCUGAGAGGGUGACCGGCCACAUUGGGACUGAGACACGGCCCAA
This 313-nucleotide ribosomal RNA is filed under the name uncultured bacterium. Its description in RNAcentral is "bacterial SSU rRNA". It matches the Rfam family "Bacterial small subunit ribosomal RNA", at positions 28 to 334 of the family's 1533-position model. The record is from RNAcentral.